Molecule: ribosomal RNA, 420 nt
Filed under: bacterium
Lineage: Bacteria
Description: partial 16S ribosomal RNA
Rfam family: Bacterial small subunit ribosomal RNA
Source: RNAcentral
UGGGGGAUAUUGCACAAUGGGCGAAAGCCUGAUGCAGCGACGCCGCGUGGGGGAUGAAGGCUUUCGGGUUGUAAACCUCUUUCGCUAUCGAACAAGGCCCGCUUAGGGUGGGUUGAGGGUAGGUGGAGAAGAAGCGCCGGCUAACUACGUGCCAGCAGCCGCGGUAAUACGUAGGGCGCGAGCGUUGUCCGGAAUUAUUGGGCGUAAAGGGCUUGUAGGCGGCUUGUUGCGCCUGCUGUGAAAACGCGGGGCUUAACUUCGCGCGUGCAGUGGGUACGGGCAGGCUUGAGUGUGGUAGGGGUGACUGGAAUUACAGGUGUAGCGGUAGAAUGCGCAGAUAUCUGGAGGAACACCGAUGACGAAGACAGGUCACUGGGCCAUUACUGACGCUGAGGAGCGAAAGCAUGGGUAGCGAACAGG